This 253-nucleotide ribosomal RNA is filed under the name uncultured bacterium. Its description in RNAcentral is "partial 16S ribosomal RNA". It matches the Rfam family "Bacterial small subunit ribosomal RNA", at positions 524 to 776 of the family's 1533-position model. The record is from RNAcentral.
UACGGAGGGUGCAAGCGUUGUCCGGAUUUAUUGGGUUUAAAGGGUGCGUAGGCGGCCCAUUAAGUCAGCGGUGAAAGCCCGGGGCUCAACCCCGGAACCGCCGUUGAUACUGGUGGGCUUGAGUAUGGACGAGGUUGGCGGAAUUGAGGGUGUAGCGGUGAAAUGCUUAGAUACCCUCAAGAACACCGAUUGCGUAGGCAGCUAACUAGGCCAUAACUGACGCUGAGGCACGAAAGCGUGGGGAGCAAACAGG